RNAcentral lists this ribosomal RNA (204 nucleotides) under Synechococcus sp. A15-60. RNAcentral describes it as "partial 23S ribosomal RNA". It matches the Rfam family "Bacterial large subunit ribosomal RNA", at positions 1 to 218 of the family's 2925-position model. The record is from RNAcentral. Lineage: Bacteria; Bacillati; Cyanobacteriota; Cyanophyceae; Synechococcales; Synechococcaceae.
GGUCAAGCUACAAAGGGCUCACGGUGGAUACCUUGGCACACAGAGGCGAUGAAGGACGUGGUUACCUGCGAUAAGUCUCGGGGAGCUGGAAACACGCUUUGAUCCGGGAAUUUCCGAAUGGGGCAACCCUUAAUAUCGGCCAGCUGAAUCCAUAGGCUGGUGCGAGCCAACCCAGCGAACUGAAACAUCUUAGAGCGAGAAGAA